Molecule: small nuclear RNA, 19 nt
Filed under: Arabidopsis thaliana (thale cress)
Lineage: Eukaryota; Viridiplantae; Streptophyta; Magnoliopsida; Brassicales; Brassicaceae
Description: snRNA_04122
Source: RNAcentral
CUAACAAGGAUUCCCUUAG